RNAcentral lists this ribosomal RNA (563 nucleotides) under Chaetomium sp. CB5. RNAcentral describes it as "eukaryotic LSU rRNA". The stretch from base 203 to 356 matches the Rfam family "5.8S ribosomal RNA". The record is from RNAcentral. Lineage: Eukaryota; Fungi; Ascomycota; Sordariomycetes; Sordariales; Chaetomiaceae.
GUAGGUGAACCUGCGGAGGGAUCAUUACAGAGUUGCAAAACUCCCUAAACCAUUGUGAACGUUACCUAAACCGUUGCUUCGGCGGGCGGCGCCGGGGUUUACCCCCCGGGCGCCCCUGGGCCCCACCGCGGGCGCCCGCCGGAGGUCACCAAACUCUUGAUAAUUUAUGGCCUCUCUGAGUCUUCUGUACUGAAUAAGUCAAAACUUUCAACAACGGAUCUCUUGGUUCUGGCAUCGAUGAAGAACGCAGCGAAAUGCGAUAAGUAAUGUGAAUUGCAGAAUUCAGUGAAUCAUCGAAUCUUUGAACGCACAUUGCGCCCGCCAGUAUUCUGGCGGGCAUGCCUGUUCGAGCGUCAUUUCAACCAUCAAGCCCCGGGCUUGUGUUGGGGACCUGCGGCUGCCGCAGGCCCUGAAAAGCAGUGGCGGGCUCGCUGUCACACCGAGCGUAGUAGCAUACAUCUCGCUCUGGGCGUGCUGCGGGUUCCGGCCGUUAAACCACCUUUUAACCCAAGGUUGACCUCGGAUCAGGUAGGAAGACCCGCUGAACUUAAGCAUAUCAAUAA